GACGAACGCUGGCGGCGUGCUUAAUACAUGCAAGUCGAACGGAAAGGCCCUGCUCUUGUGGGGUGGUCGAGUGGCGAACGGGUGAGUAACACGUGAGUAACCUGCCCUUGACUUUGGGAUAACUCUAGGAAAAUGGGGCUAAUACCGGAUAGGAGCUUCUGCUGCAUGGUGGGGGUUGGAAAGUUUCGGUGGUUGGGGAUGGACUGGCGGCUUAUCGGCUUGUUGGUGGGGUAGUGGCGUACAACGGCUUUGACGGGUAGGCGGCAUGGGAGGGUUGCCAGCCACAAUAGGACUACGAUACGGCCCAGACUCCUACGGGAGGCAGAAGUGGAGAAUAUUGCACAAUAGGCGGAAGCCUGAUGCAGCAACGCCGCGUGCGGGAUGACGUCCUUCGAGUUGUAAACCGCUUUCGCCUGUGACGAAGAGUGAGUGACGGUAAUGAGUAAAGAAGCACCGGCUAACUACGUG
Molecule: ribosomal RNA, 468 nt
Filed under: uncultured bacterium
Lineage: Bacteria
Description: partial 16S ribosomal RNA
Rfam family: Bacterial small subunit ribosomal RNA
Source: RNAcentral